UACGGAGGAUGCGAGCGUUAUCCGGAUUUAUUGGGUUUAAAGGGUGCGUAGGCGGACUGUCAAGUCAGCGGUAAAAUUGAGAGGCUCAACCUCUUCCCGCCGUUGAAACUGGUGGUCUUGAGUAGAUGAGAAGUACGCGGAAUGCGUGGUGUAGCGGUGAAAUGCAUAGAUAUCACGCAGAACUCCGAUUGCGAAGGCAGCGUACCGGCAUCCAACUGACGCUGAGGCACGAAAGCGUGGGGAUCAAACAGG
RNAcentral lists this ribosomal RNA (252 nucleotides) under uncultured bacterium. Its description in RNAcentral is "partial 16S ribosomal RNA". It matches the Rfam family "Bacterial small subunit ribosomal RNA", at positions 524 to 776 of the family's 1533-position model. The record is from RNAcentral.